This 481-nucleotide ribosomal RNA is filed under the name uncultured bacterium. RNAcentral describes it as "partial 16S ribosomal RNA". It matches the Rfam family "Bacterial small subunit ribosomal RNA", at positions 28 to 506 of the family's 1533-position model. The record is from RNAcentral.
GAUGAACGCUGGCGGCGUGCCUAAUACAUGCAAGUCGAACGCUUCACUUCGGUGAAGAGUGGCGAACGGGUGAGUAAUACAUAAGUAACCUGGCAUCUACAGGGGGAUAACUGAUGGAAACGUCAGCUAAGACCGCAUAGGUGUAGAGAUCGCAUGAACUCUAUAUGAAAAGUGCUACGGGACUGGUAGAUGAUGGACUUAUGGCGCAUUAGCUUGUUGGUAGGGUAACGGCCUACCAAGGCGACGAUGCGUAGCCGACCUGAGAGGGUGACCGGCCACAAUGGGACUGAGACACGGCCCAGACUCCUACGGGAGGCAGCAGUAGGGAAUUUUCGGCAAUGGGGGAAACCCUGACCGAGCAACGCCGCGUGAAGGAAGAAGUAAUUCGUUAUGUAAACUUCUGUCAUAGAGGAAGAACGGUGGAUAUAGGGAAUGAUAUCCAAGUGACGGUACUCUAUAAGAAAGCCACGGCUAACUACGU